CAGAAAAACGAACGACCCAACAAGAUACUGUGCACAACAUACGUGGAAAAAAUUGGAGAAGCCAGGUUCGUGCGUUGCAUUUUGAUGUUCGAACCGAAGAAAGAAAGGGAACUGCAUAAUAUUUCACAAGAAUACACUCAAGAGAGGAAAGGAUGUUACACACCACAUCUCAUUCCUAGAGCUGUGCCUACUGUCUUUCCUGGACAUCCUCCCUAUAAACAGACCCAUGGCUCAAGACUCCCAUCAAAACCAUGUACAACAUCCGAAAGUGUUCCCGUGCCUCCAAAGAAACCCUAUGACAUUACAAAAGAACAUGACUAUUCUUUUUCUGUCUGAGUUGAUUAGAAACUGAAUAUAACCAGACAGCAAGUGCAGGAUGCCAAGAAACAGCUUAAAGUGGUGAAACAAGGUAAACAGGAGAGAUGGAAAAACCAGGACUCUCUUGCAGGAAGUCCACGAAAGCAAGCUCAUUAGCCAGGAUCAGCUUGACCUACUUCAACACAACUUUGGAGAGAAC
Molecule: long non-coding RNA, 517 nt
Filed under: Strongylocentrotus purpuratus (purple sea urchin)
Lineage: Eukaryota; Metazoa; Echinodermata; Echinoidea; Camarodonta; Strongylocentrotidae
Description: uncharacterized LOC115925152
Source: RNAcentral